This 319-nucleotide long non-coding RNA is filed under the name Mytilus galloprovincialis (Mediterranean mussel). Lineage: Eukaryota; Metazoa; Mollusca; Bivalvia; Mytilida; Mytilidae. The record is from RNAcentral.
UUUACCCCUAUGUUCUAUUAUUAGCCGUGGCAGCCAUUUUGGUUGAUUGGCCAGGUCACGCCACACAUUUUUAAAACAAAUUACCCCAAUGAUGAUUGUGGCAAAGCUUAGUUUAAUUUGGCCCAGUAGUUUCAGAGAAGAAAAUUUUUGUAAAAGAUUACUAAGAUUUACGAAAAAAUGGUUAAAAAUUGACUAUAAAGGGCAUUAACUCCUUCAGGGGUCAACUGACCAUUUUGAUCAUGCUGACUUAUUCGUAAAUCUUACUUUGCUGAACAUUAUUGCUGUUUACCGUUUAUCUCUAUCUAUAAUAAUAUUCAAG